GGGGGUAUAGCGCAGUUGGGAGCGCGCUUGAAUGGCAUUCAAGAGGCCAGGGGUUCGAAUCCCCUUAUCUCCA
This 73-nucleotide transfer RNA is filed under the name Clostridia bacterium. Its description in RNAcentral is "tRNA-Ala". It matches the Rfam family "tRNA". From Rfam's summary of the family: Transfer RNA (tRNA) molecules are approximately 80 nucleotides in length. Their secondary structure includes four short double-helical elements and three loops (D, anti-codon, and T loops). RNAcentral also lists the same sequence under 3 other names. Lineage: Bacteria; Bacillati; Bacillota; Clostridia. The record is from RNAcentral.